CCUACGGGAGGCAGCAGUGGGGAAUAUUGGACAAUGGGCGAAAGCCUGAUCCAGCAAUGCCGCGUGAGUGAUGAAGGCCCUAGGGUUGUAAAGCUCUUUUACCCGAGAUGAUAAUGACAGUACCGGGAGAAUAAGCCCCGGCUAACUCCGUGCCAGCAGCCGCGGUAAU
Molecule: ribosomal RNA, 169 nt
Filed under: uncultured soil bacterium
Lineage: Bacteria
Description: partial 16S ribosomal RNA
Rfam family: Bacterial small subunit ribosomal RNA
Source: RNAcentral